GUGAUUAGCGGAGAAAUUCCAAUCGAACACGGAGAUAGCUGGUUCUCCCCGAAAUAGCUUUAGGGCUAGCGUUGAACGAAUCUACCCGGAGGUAGAGCACUGAAAUCAUGCGGGCGGCAUCUCGCCGUACCAAAUGAUAUCAAACUCCGAAUGCCGGGCAAGAAUAUUCAGCAGUCAGACUGUGGGUGAUAAGGUCCAUGGUCAAAAGGGAAACAGCCCAGAUCAUCAGAUAAGGUCCCAAAAUUUACGCUAAGUGGAAAAGGAUGUGGAGACGCGCAAACAGCUAGGAGGUUGGCUCAGAAGCAGCCAUCCUUCAAAGAGUGCGUAACAGCUCACUAGUCGAGUAUCUCUGCGCCGAAAAUUAACCGGGGCUAAGCGUAAUACCGAAUCUAUGGAUUUAUACUUAGGUAUAAGUGGUAGGGGAGCGUUCCAUACAGCAUUGAAGGUAUACCGUAAGGAGUGCUGGAGCGUAUGGAAGUGAGAAUGCCGGUGUGAGUAGCGAGAUGUGGGUGAGAAUCCCACACACCGAACAACCAAGGUUUCCAGGGGAAGGUUCGUCCGCCCUGGGUAAGUCGGGACCUAAGGCCAGGCCGAAAGGCGUAGUCGAUGGACAGCAGGUUGAUAUUCCUGCACCCGCGAGUAAAGUGAUGGAGUGACAGAUAGGGUUAACCCAAGUCCUUACUGGAUUGGGCAAGGCAAGCAGGAGAGUGGCGUAGGCAAAUCCGCGUCGGAUACUCAAAGGCUUGACUCAAGCGAACGCGCGAGCAAGUAGUGAAGAGGGCGAUACCAGGUCUCAAGAAAAGCUUCUAGCGAUAAUUUACUAGCGGCCCGUACCAAAACCGACACAGGUGGUUGAGGCGAGUAGCCUAAGGUGAGCGAGAGAACUGUUGCCAAGGAACUCGGCAAAUUGACCCCGUACGUUAGCAAUAAGGGGUGCUCGAAAGAGCCGCAGUGAAUAGGCCCUAGCAACUGUUUAACUAAAACAUAGCUCUCUGCGAAGUCGCAAGACGAAGUAUAGGGGGUGACACCUGCCCGGUGCUGGAAGGUCAAGGGGAUUUGUCAGACGCAAGUCGAAGCAUUGAACCGAAGCCCCAGUGAACGGCGGCCGUAACUAUAACGGUCCUAAGGUAGCGAAAUUCCUUGUCAGGUAAGUUCUGACCCGCACGAAAGGUGUAAUGAUUUGGGCACUGUCUCGGCAGCAGACUCGGUGAAAUCUUAGUACCUGUGAAGAUGCAGGUUACCCGCAACUAGACGGAAAGACCCCAUGGAGCUUUACUGUAGUCUGCUAUUGAGUUUCGGUUAAGUAUGCACAGGAUAGGUGGGAGACGAUGAGACUGGUCUUUUGGGAUCAGAGGAGUCACUGUUGGGAUACCACUCUUACUUAAUUGAAAUUCUAACUCUAAGCCGUGAUCCGGCUAGAGGACCGUGGCAGAUGGGCAGUUUGACUGGGGCGGUCGCCUCCCAAAGAGUAACGGAGGCGCACAAAGGUACUCUCAGAAUGGUUGGAAAUCAUUCAUCGAGCGCAAACGCAGAAGAGUGCUUGACUGCGAGACAAACAAGUCGAGCAGGGACGAAAGUCGGUGUUAGUGAUCCGGCGGUGCAGAAUGGAAUGGCCGUCGCUUAACGGAUAAAAGCUACCCUGGGGAUAACAGGCUGAUCUCGCCCAAGAGUUCACAUCGACGGCGAGGUUUGGCACCUCGAUGUCGGCUCAUCGCAUCCUGG
This 1722-nucleotide ribosomal RNA is filed under the name human metagenome. RNAcentral's name for it is "bacterial LSU rRNA". It matches the Rfam family "Bacterial large subunit ribosomal RNA", at positions 811 to 2550 of the family's 2925-position model. The record is from RNAcentral.